GCUCAAGUGCCUCUGUUAUAAUUGGCUGCCGUGUGCACCUAUGGUCCAAUGUGACACUGGAAGCCAUAGCUGCCCCACUGACUUUGAACUGGAAUCCUGAGCCCUCUACAUGUGCUCGCAACAUCCCAGGCAGCUUAGUCCCCACAAGCAUCAUCACACCCCUCCUGAAUCCCUUCGUCUUCAGUCUGUGGAAUGAACCCAUGAAAGAUGCACUGAAGGACGCCUCGGCCGGAGGACAGAGCUUGCUCAAAGGGGCACACAAACUUCUUCUUAUAAGCUCUGGAUACCUGUUCAUUGACAUCACUGAAAAAUAAAGUGGUUUUCUCAAAGCAACAGAGUCUCCUUUCAGAUUUUAACUAUGAAAAUGGUUAAGAAAAUGUGGCACAUAUACACCAUGGAAUACUAUGCAGCCAUA
RNAcentral lists this long non-coding RNA (415 nucleotides) under Homo sapiens (human). Its description in RNAcentral is "HSALNT0299659". The record is from RNAcentral. Lineage: Eukaryota; Metazoa; Chordata; Mammalia; Primates; Hominidae.